This 497-nucleotide ribosomal RNA is filed under the name uncultured bacterium. Its description in RNAcentral is "partial 16S ribosomal RNA". It matches the Rfam family "Bacterial small subunit ribosomal RNA", at positions 28 to 507 of the family's 1533-position model. The record is from RNAcentral.
GAUGAACGCUGGCGGCGUGCCUAAUACAUGCAAGUAGAACGCUGAAGGAAGGAGCUUGCUCUUUCCGGAUGAGUUGCGAACGGGUGAGUAACGCGUAGGUAACCUGCCUGGUAGCGGGGGAUAACUAUUGGAAACGAUAGCUAAUACCGCAUAACAGUAGAUGUUGCAUGAUAUCUACUUAAAAGGUGCAAUUGCACCACUACCAGAUGGACCUGCGUUGUAUUAGCUAGUUGGUGAGGUAACGGCUCACCAAGGCGACGAUACAUAGCCGACCUGAGAGGGUGAUCGGCCACACUGGGACGGGGACACGGCCCAGACUCCUACGGGAGGCAGCAGUAGGGAAUCUUCGGCAAGGGACGGAAGUCUGACCGAGCAACGCCGCGUGAGUGAAGAAGGUUUUCGGAUCGUAAAGCUCUGUUGUAAGAGAAGAACGAGUGUGAGAGUGGAAAGUUCACACUGUGACGGUAUCUUACCAGAAAGGGACGGCUAACUACGUG